This is a non-coding RNA of Acanthosepion pharaonis, 115 nucleotides long. The record is from the annotation of a GenBank genome assembly. NCBI's taxonomy places the organism in Eukaryota, Metazoa, Mollusca, Cephalopoda, Sepiida, Sepiidae.
UUACGGCCACGUCAUGCUGAAACGUCAUGGUUCUGUACGAUCACCGAAGUUAAGCAACGUCAAUCAUUGUCAGUACCAAGAUGGGUGACCUCUUGGGAAUACCAGAUGCUGUAAU